Molecule: ribosomal RNA, 468 nt
Filed under: uncultured bacterium
Lineage: Bacteria
Description: partial 16S ribosomal RNA
Rfam family: Bacterial small subunit ribosomal RNA
Source: RNAcentral
GACGAACGCUGGCGGCGUGCUUAACACAUGCAAGUCGAACGGAAAGGCCCUGCUUUUGUGGGGUGCUCGAGUGGCGAACGGGUGAGUAACACGUGAGUAACCUGCCCUUGACUUUGGGAUAACUUCAGGAAACUGGGGCUAAUACCGGAUAGGAGCUCCUGCUGCAUGGUGGGGGUUGGAAAGUUUCGGCGGUUGGGGAUGGACUCGCGGCUUAUCAGCUUGUUGGUGGGGUAGUGGCUUACCAAGGCUUUGACGGGUAGCCGGCCUGCGAGGGUGACCGGCCAAAUUGGGACUGAGAUACAGCCCAGACUCCUACGGGAGGCAGCAGUGGGGAAUAGUGCACAAUGGGCGGAAGCCUGAUGCAGCAACGCCGCGUGCGGGAUGACGGCCUUCGGGUUGUAAACCGCCUUCGCCUGUGACGAAGCGUGAGUGACGGUAAUGGGUAAAGAAGCACCGGCUAACUACGUG